UACCCAACCCGACGAAGGGGGAAACGUCCGACCGAAAGUUGUGUUGGUGAUUGGGGUG
This 58-nucleotide ribosomal RNA is filed under the name uncultured bacterium. Its description in RNAcentral is "partial 16S ribosomal RNA". The record is from RNAcentral.